This 506-nucleotide ribosomal RNA is filed under the name uncultured bacterium. Its description in RNAcentral is "partial 16S ribosomal RNA". It matches the Rfam family "Bacterial small subunit ribosomal RNA", at positions 28 to 507 of the family's 1533-position model. The record is from RNAcentral.
GACGAACGCUGGCGGCGUGCUUAACACAUGCAAGUCGAACGGUGAAGGGACUGGUUUUGCUGGUCCUGGAUGAGUGGCGAACGGGUGAGUAACACGUGAGUAACCUGCCCCCUUCUUCUGGAUAACCGCAUGAAAGUGUGGCUAAUACGGGAUAUUCUGGGUCUGUCGCAUGGUGGGCCUGGGAAAGAUUGCGCCUUUUUUGGUGUUUUUGGUGGGGGAUGGGCUCGCGGCCUAUCAGCUUGUUGGUGGGGUGAUGGCCUACCAAGGCGGUGACGGGUAGCCGGCCUGAGAGGGUGGACGGUCACACUGGGACUGAGACACGGCCCAGACUCCUACGGGAGGCAGCAGUGGGGAAUAGUGCACAAUGGGCGCAAGCCUGAUGCAGCGACGCCGCGUGAGGGAUGGAAGCCUUCGGGUUGUGAACCUCUUUCGCCAGUGAAGCAGGCCUGCCUCUUUUUGUGGGUGGGUUGACGGUAGCUGGAUAAGAAGCGCCGGCUAACUACGUG